ACGAAGGGGGCUAGCGUUGCUCGGAAUCACUGGGCGUAAAGCGCACGUAGGCGGUCUUUUAAGUCAGGGGUGAAAUCCUGGAGCUCAACUCCAGAACUGCCUUUGAUACUGGGAGACUUGAGUCCGGGAGAGGUGAGUGGAACUGCGAGUGUAGAGGUGAAAUUCGUAGAUAUUCGCGAGAACACCGGUGGCGAAGGCGGCAUCCUGGACCGGUAUUGACGCUGAGGCGCGAAAGCCAGGGGAGCAAACGGGA
RNAcentral lists this ribosomal RNA (253 nucleotides) under uncultured prokaryote. RNAcentral's name for it is "partial 16S ribosomal RNA". It matches the Rfam family "Bacterial small subunit ribosomal RNA", at positions 525 to 777 of the family's 1533-position model. The record is from RNAcentral.